RNAcentral lists this ribosomal RNA (460 nucleotides) under uncultured bacterium. RNAcentral describes it as "partial 16S ribosomal RNA". It matches the Rfam family "Bacterial small subunit ribosomal RNA", at positions 338 to 795 of the family's 1533-position model. The record is from RNAcentral.
CCUACGGGUGGCAGCAGUGAGGAAUAUUGGUCAAUGGACGAGAGUCUGAACCAGCCAAGUAGCGUGAAGGAUGACUGCCCUAUGGGUUGUAAACUUCUUUUAUAAAGGAAUAAAACGAGGCACGUGUGCCUUUUUGCAUGUACUUUAUGAAUAAGGAUCGGCUAACUCCGUGCCAGCAGCCGCGGUAAUACGGAGGAUCCGAGCGUUAUCCGGAUUUAUUGGGUUUAAAGGGAGCGUAGAUGGGUUGUUAAGUCAGUUGUGAAAGUUUGCGGCUCAACCGUAAAAUUGCAAUUGAUACUGGCAGUCGUGAGUACAGUUGAGGUAGGCGGAAUUCGUGGUGUAGCGGUGAAAUGCUUAGAUAUCACGAAGAACCCCGAUUGCGAAGGCAGCUUACUAAACUGUGACUGACAUUGAUGCUCGAAAGUGUGGGUAUCAAACAGGAUUUGAUACCCGGGUAGUC